UUUAUACUCCCUCCGUCUGGAAAUACUUGUCGUUAAAAUGGAUAAAAGGAGAUGUAUGUCGAUACAUCUUCUUUUAUCCAUUUUGAUGACGAGUAUUUUCGGACAGAGGGAGUAGCAA
Non-coding RNA from Triticum aestivum (bread wheat), 118 nucleotides. The record is from Rfam. NCBI's taxonomy places the organism in Eukaryota, Viridiplantae, Streptophyta, Magnoliopsida, Poales, Poaceae.